RNAcentral lists this ribosomal RNA (546 nucleotides) under Xanthoparmelia subspodochroa. Its description in RNAcentral is "SSU rRNA". It matches the Rfam family "Bacterial small subunit ribosomal RNA", at positions 407 to 929 of the family's 1533-position model. The record is from RNAcentral. Lineage: Eukaryota; Fungi; Ascomycota; Lecanoromycetes; Lecanorales; Parmeliaceae.
GAGGAAUGUAUAGCAAUAGCUAGUUGCAUCAUAGUAGAUAUGAUGCAAGAUCGACUAUGUUGAAUAAAAUUCUAGGUAGAAUUAUGAUAAUGACAUUGUCUGCCUAUGUGUCUUGACCAAAUUACGUGCCAGCAGUCGCGGUAAUACGUAGAAGACUAGUGUUAUUCAUGUUUAAUCGGUUUAAAGGGUACCUAGACGGUAGAUCAAGCUUUCUAAUAAAGGAAAAGGACUAAUUUACUAGAGUUACUUAUGAGGGGGUAUUAAAGUACUGCUGGUGUAGAGAUGAAAUUCUGUCAUACCUCUUUUCAAAAGAAAAACCAUGGCACAGGUAUAGGCGAAGGCAUCCCCUUAUGUGAUAACUGACGUUGAGGGACGAAGGCUUUGUGUAGCGAACAGGAUUAGAUACCCCAGUAGUCGAAGCAGAAAAUGAUGAAUGUCAUAGAUUAGAUAUAUAAGUUUAUUCUAUAAAUGAAAGUGUAAGCAUUCCACCUCAUGAGUAAUUUGGCAACAUUGGAACUGAAAUCAUUAGACCGUUUCUGAAACCAG